UUCUUGCCUUUUGGUUCUCACACCCUGCCUGCUCCUGAUGCUUUGACCCCUUUUAUAGAUCAGAGUGCUCUAGAAUAAUGGAUGGUCUUGGGUGGUGAAUAAAGGUGGAUAAAUAGGGACAGGGACAGUUAAAUUGGGAGCCUUUCUUACAACCUUGAUGGGGUUUUUUCCCCCAAGUUUUCUUCUCCACUGAAAUGCCACACCAAUGCUUGUUGGAUUUAUGAGGUGGUCAGACUAAUGUGUUGUUCUUUCUUUUUCUUUUUCUUUUUUUUUUUUUAAGCUUCCCUUGAGAGAAUAAAUGGUAAUGGAGAGAACUAUUUAACAAGUUCCUGGUUUCUCUUGCAACACAGUAGCUAAACUUGCCUGCUUUUAUGUGCAAGCCCUUCUCCCAUCAGUCCUAGAUUAGGCCCUGUUCAGCCAUGCAGGGGUGUUGGUUUAUGCAUGCUUCAGCAGUGGGCAUAAUGAAUAUAAUUUAGCCAGCACACAAAGGUGUCUACCAAGUGAAUUUAAAUAAUUGGUGUGGAUUGGCUAGUAGCUAAGAAGUGGGCUUUUAAAGA
This 557-nucleotide long non-coding RNA is filed under the name Homo sapiens (human). RNAcentral's name for it is "HSALNT0407761". Lineage: Eukaryota; Metazoa; Chordata; Mammalia; Primates; Hominidae. The record is from RNAcentral.